UGGGGUUUGGUCUUCGAGGACGUCAUGCAGGCAAAUCCGCAUGGCACUAGUCCAAGGAGAUUGACGACGUCUGUCGCAAGACAGAUUAAGAAGAGGGAGCGGGGUGCCAGGAAAAUCUUCUAAGGUUCGUAUACAAGUAUCCGUACCGCAAACCGACACAGGUGGACUGGGCGAGUAGCCUAAGAUGAACGGGAGAGCAUUCGUUAAGGAACUCGGCAAAAAAGCUAGGCGUAAGUUCGCAACAUGCCUUGCCGGCAGCAAUGUCGGCCGCAGCUAAAGUUUUUCAAUCGACUGUUUACCAAAAACACAGCUCUCUGCAAACCCGUAAGGGGAAGUAUAGGGGGUGACACCUGACCAGUGCUGGAACGUUAACGGGAGCGGUUCACGCCAAUCCCCGAAGCGCCAGUGAACGUCGGCGAUAACUAUAAUCGUCCUAAGGUAGCGAAAUUCCUUGUCUGGUAAGUUCAGACGUGCACGAAUGGCGUAACGAGUGGGGAACUGUCUCGGGGAGUAGCUCGGUGAAAAUACAGUGGGGGUGAAGAUGCCCCCUAGCUGCAGAUAGACGAAAAGACCCCGUGAGCUUUACUCUAGCUUGGUAUUGCGAUUGUUUCCUUACUGCGUAGAAUAGUGGUGAGAGGUUUGAUGUAUAUGGUUUCGGCCGUAUUCUACUCGACAGUGAAAUAGCCAUCUGUAAUGAGGCAAUCGCUAACGUGAACGGAAAAAACGUUCGCAGACAGUAUCUGGUGGGGAGUUUAACUGGGGCGGUUUCCUCCCAAAAGGUAACGGAGGAGUAUAUUAAGGUCAUCUAGGCGCGAAUGGAAACCGUGCCGAUAGCGUAAGGGCAAAAGAUGGCUUGACUGUAAGACGGGCAUGUCGAGCAGACACGAAAGUGGAUCCUAGUGAACCUACACUACGCUUUAGACGCGGGUGCAGAUUAACGGAUAGAAGCUACCACGGGGAUAACAGGCUAGUUGUGCCCAAGAGUUCAUAUCGACGGCACAGUUCGGCACCUCGAUGUCGGCUCAUCUUAUCCUGGUGGUGGAGAAGCUACCAAGGGUAUGGCUGUUCGCCAUUUAAAAAGAUACGUGAGCUGGGUUCAAACCGUAGAGGAGUGAAUGUUAGAGAAUGAAUGGUGAUGUUAUUUUCUCAGAUAACACAAUUCACUGUUCACAACAAUUUUCUAACAUUGACUUCUCUUAGUUUGAACCCGAGGCGGUAAGACUACACUUACCAAAAAGACAUCAAUCACGGCGGUCAUAUACAGCAAUGUAUAUGGACAAGCUGACUAAUAUCGGAAGAAUCUUAAACAUAGUAUUACUUUCACAAAGGGAAGAAGACUGG
Molecule: ribosomal RNA, 1341 nt
Filed under: wastewater metagenome
Description: bacterial LSU rRNA
Rfam family: Bacterial large subunit ribosomal RNA (bases 1-1199)
Source: RNAcentral